GGGCCCAUAGCUCAACGGCAGAGCACCUGGCUCAUAACCGGUUGGUUGUAGGUUCGAAUCCUACUGGGCCCA
Molecule: transfer RNA, 72 nt
Filed under: Anaerolineales bacterium
Lineage: Bacteria; Bacillati; Chloroflexota; Anaerolineae; Anaerolineales
Description: tRNA-Ile
Rfam family: tRNA
About the family: Transfer RNA (tRNA) molecules are approximately 80 nucleotides in length.
Source: RNAcentral